Molecule: long non-coding RNA, 579 nt
Organism: Zingiber officinale
Lineage: Eukaryota; Viridiplantae; Streptophyta; Magnoliopsida; Zingiberales; Zingiberaceae
Exons: 2
Source: RefSeq, a predicted model, not a curated record
UAAAAGAUGGAUUUUCCCUUGAGCCCUCGGCGCCAAACCCUUGCCUCGCCGUCGCCCUUCCCUCUCCCUCGCCCGAGCACCUCACAGCCGCCAGCCUCCUCUCUUCUCGAGCUCUCACUUAGCGUCGCCGAUCUUCUCCUCCUCGUGCCUCUUGCGACGCCGCCGGCUCUCCUCAUGCGAGCACCAAGACACUGCCGCCUCUCCUCCUCACGCCAGCACUCGAGACGUCACACCACCGCCGGUCACGACGAGCCCCAGCCGCCGAUCUUUCCUCCUCACGCGAGCAGCACAGCGGCGAUUCCUCUCCCUCGCACGAGCACUAUGGACCACAGCCGUUGAUCCUCUUCUCUUCGUGUCGUGCCCUGACUGGUAGUAGGUAGAUGAGUCAUGGAUGCUUGGAGAGAUGCCGGCUGCCAGUCCUGGGUCCUACGUCACACUCGAGGAUAGUUUUCGUUUUGGUUUUGUUAUCGUUUGGGGUGGUAUAAUGAUUUUGUGUAUUCUAUUUUUCAACAAGUCGAUGUGAAUUUUGGGUCAAGUUUGUGAUGACAGAUAUUUUUGUUAGUGUCGUUGUUGGUUUUA